Ornithodoros turicata is the source of this 100-nucleotide long non-coding RNA. RefSeq lists it as uncharacterized. The transcript is spliced from 3 exons. Lineage: Eukaryota; Metazoa; Arthropoda; Arachnida; Ixodida; Argasidae. The record is from RefSeq and is a predicted model, not a curated record.
GCAAAAUGACCCAUUGAGCUUCACUGAUGACGCAAGUUCAGUAGGGACACCUGGGCCAUCCGUUCAGUCAUCCAGGCUGUUGUCUGUAGGCACUUCCCCG